RNAcentral lists this ribosomal RNA (497 nucleotides) under uncultured bacterium. RNAcentral describes it as "partial 16S ribosomal RNA". It matches the Rfam family "Bacterial small subunit ribosomal RNA", at positions 28 to 507 of the family's 1533-position model. The record is from RNAcentral.
GAUGAACGCUGGCGGCGUGCCUAAUACAUGCAAGUCGAGCGAACAGACGAGGAGCUUGCUCCUCUGACGUUAUCGGCGGACGGGUGAGUAACACGUGGAUAACCUACCUAUAAGACUGGGAUAACUUCGGGAAACCGGAGCUAAUACCGGAUAAUAUAUUUAACCGCAUGGUUCAAUAGUUAAAGACGGUUUUGCUGUCACUUAUAGAUGUAUCCGCGCCGCAUUAGCUAGUUUGUAAGGUAACGGCUUACCAAGGCGACGAUUCGUAGCCGACCUGAGAGGGAGAACGGCCACACUGGAACUGAGACAAGGUCCAGACUCCUACGGGAGGCAGCAGUAGGGAAUAUUCCGCAAAGGGCGAAAGCCUGAAGGAGCAAAGCCGCGUGAGUGAUGAAGGUCUUCGGAUCGUAAAACUCUGUUAUUAGGGAAGAACAAAUGUGUAAGUAAAUAUGCACGUCUUGACGGUACCUAAUCAGAAAGCCACGGCUAACUACGUG